GUUGCCUGUGAAACGAAUCUAAGUUCACUCUUAAUUCUUCUCCAAGGAACACUAAACCCCAAUGAAGCGAAUUAAGGGCUAUUUAAAGGGGGUACAGCUCCUUUAAAAAAGAGUACAAUCUCUACGAGCGGAUAAAUAACCUUCACAAAAACUUAUUGUGGGCCCUCAAGCAGCCAUCAACAAAGAGUGCGUUAAAGCUCCGAAUCCCAAAAAUAUAAGAACAAUAUGAAUCCCUCCUCACUAACAGGCUAACCUAUACCCAAAUAGGAGAAUUAAUGCUAGAAUGAGUAACCAGGGUCCUCCCUCUACGACGCAAGCUUACAUCAAUACAUUAUUAACAAACACCCAAUAUACGACCAACACAACAAGCAGAGUAUUAAGCACAUUGUUAACCCGACAGAGGAGCGUCCACUAAGAAAGAUUAAAACCUGCAAAAGGAACUAGGCAAACCCGUCAAGGCCCGACUGUUUACCAAAAACAUAGCCUUCAGCAAACCAAAGCAAGUAUUGAAGGUGAUGCCUGCCCGGUGACCUGAGGUUUAACGGCCGCGGUAUCCUA
This 558-nucleotide ribosomal RNA is filed under the name Turdus merula (blackbird). RNAcentral describes it as "partial 16S ribosomal RNA". It matches the Rfam family "Bacterial large subunit ribosomal RNA", at positions 852 to 1897 of the family's 2925-position model. Lineage: Eukaryota; Metazoa; Chordata; Aves; Passeriformes; Turdidae. The record is from RNAcentral.